Molecule: ribosomal RNA, 245 nt
Filed under: uncultured bacterium
Lineage: Bacteria
Description: partial 16S ribosomal RNA
Rfam family: Bacterial small subunit ribosomal RNA
Source: RNAcentral
UACGAGAGCCUCGAGCGUUAUCCGGAAUUAUUGGGCGUAAAGGGUGUGUAGGUUGUUCUGUUAGUCUUUUGUCAAAGCCUCGGGCUUAACCUGAGAUACGCAAAGGAAACGGCAGAACUUGAAAGUGCGAGAGGUUUGCGGAACUUAUGGUGUAGGGGUGAAAUCCGUUGAUAUCAUAGGGAACACCAAAUGCGAAGGCAGCAAACUGGCGCAUAUUUGACGCUGAAACACGAAAGCGUGGGUAG